Molecule: non-coding RNA, 32 nt
Filed under: Syntrophotalea carbinolica DSM 2380
Lineage: Bacteria; Pseudomonadati; Thermodesulfobacteriota; Desulfuromonadia; Desulfuromonadales; Syntrophotaleaceae
Source: RNAcentral
CCUGCCAAGGGUGGUUAUUUUCUCGAUGAAAU